GGGGCCCGCACAAGCGGCGGAGCAUGCGGAUUAAUUCGAUGCAACGCGAAGAACCUUACCAAGGCUUGACAUGGACCGGACCGGGCUGGAAACAGUCCUUCCCCUUUGGGGCCGGUUCACAGGUGGUGCAUGGUUGUCGUCAGCUCGUGUCGUGAGAUGUUGGGUUAAGUCCCGCAACGAGCGCAACCCCUAUCUUAUGUUGCCAGCACGUUAUGGUGGGAACUCAUGGGAUACUGCCGGGGUCAACUCGGAGGAAGGUGGGGAUGACGUCAAAUCAUCAUGCCCCUUAUGUCUUGGGCUUCACGCAUGCUACAAUGGCCGGUACAAAGGGCUGCAAUACCGCGAGGUGGAGCGAAUCCCAAAAAGCCGGUCCCAGUUCGGAUUGAGGUCUGCAACUCGACCUCAUGAAGUCGGAGUCGCUAGUAAUCGCAGAUCAGCAACGCUGCGGUGAAUACGUUCCCGGGUCUUGUACACACCGCCCGUCAAGUCAUGAAAGUCGGUAACACCUGAAGCCGGUGGCCUAACCCUUGUGGAGGGAGCUGUCGAAGGUGGGACUGGCGAUUGGGACUAAGUCGUAACAAGGUAACCGUAAGGGC
This 596-nucleotide ribosomal RNA is filed under the name uncultured bacterium. RNAcentral describes it as "bacterial SSU rRNA". It matches the Rfam family "Bacterial small subunit ribosomal RNA", at positions 916 to 1509 of the family's 1533-position model. The record is from RNAcentral.